CCCUCCCUCUAUAUAUCCCUCCCCCUCUCCCUCUAUAUCCCCUUCUCUCUCUCUCUCUCUCUCUCUAUCCCUCUCUCUCUCCCCUCUCUCCCUCUAUCCCCCUUCUCUCCCUCUCUCCCUAUCCCUCCCUCUCUUCCUAUCCCCCUCUCUCCCUCUAUCCCCUUCUCUCUCUAUAUAUCCCCUCUCUCCUCUAUAUAUCCCCUUCUCUCUCUAUAUAUCCCUCUCUCCCUCUAUAUCCCCUUCUCUCUCUCCCUCUAUAUAUCCCCUUCUCUCUCUCCCCUCUAUAUAUCCCCCUCUCUCUCCCCUCUCUCUCUCUCUCUCCCUCCCUCUAUCCCCCUCCCUCUAUAUAUCCCCCUCUCUCCCUCUAUAUCCCCCCCCUCUCUCCCUCUAUAUCCCCUUCUCUCUCUCUCUCCCCUUCCCUCUCUAUCCUCCCCUCUAAAACACCAGCUAUGACAGCCUCCGCUACCCCGUAGUGGAAUGGAGUCACAAUAAUGCAUCAGCAGCUUGGUUGUUUUAUAGUUUUAGCCUCUUCUUACGUUGUCCAUUCUAUUUUGCUUUGCAUCCACCUGAACUAGGCCUGCUAUGCAUUGCCAAUCUGUAAUGCUGUUCAUCUGUUUUCAGAGGGCAAAAUGAAAUGUUAUAUUUUUUAUAAGAAAUGACUUGAAAUGUCCUACCAUGUGUGAGGACAGGAGUUGUAAUGUUUCCAUGAUGUACAUACUGUACUUUUUAAGAAGUGGAAAAAUAUUUUUCAUUGUACAAAAAUGGAAACAGGCAUUGUAUUUGGUUUAAACAACAAACCAAAAUUUCAUGACCAGUUUAUUUUGAAUGAAAUUGUCAAGUAUACAAUUCCUUUAUGUAAAAGUGUAAUCUAAGAAUAAACUGGUUUUAUGUAGUUUCCUUAAAUGGUUUAAUAACCUUUGACUUUGUUUUAAGUUAAAUUACUCUUGUAUUGGCUACACAGCAACAAGCUUUUUUAAAUGUCUAUUUCAACCAUCAGACUACACUCCAGGGUUCAAAUGUUUUAGUAACGUUCACAUCCAUGACCAGAAUCUGGAAAACACCUUGGCUUACCAUGCAUGCAUCAGUGAAUUCCAAUGCUGUCUUUUCCCAUAAACCCUGCAAUCUAGGACUGUGUCGGGUUACAAUGCUGUCCGGAACACAGUAGCAACUGGCCAAGCCCUUUCUCUUAUUCACCCAAUGUUCGCAGGUCUGAUGGACCCACAACAUUGUUUUUUUUAAACAAUACAGCCAUAACAAUGUAAAAAUGCUUACAUCCGUUACAAG
Oncorhynchus tshawytscha (Chinook salmon) is the source of this 1284-nucleotide long non-coding RNA. NCBI's taxonomy places the organism in Eukaryota, Metazoa, Chordata, Actinopteri, Salmoniformes, Salmonidae. The record is from Ensembl.